This 492-nucleotide ribosomal RNA is filed under the name uncultured bacterium. Its description in RNAcentral is "partial 16S ribosomal RNA". It matches the Rfam family "Bacterial small subunit ribosomal RNA", at positions 29 to 507 of the family's 1533-position model. The record is from RNAcentral.
AGUGAACGCUGGCGGUAGGCCUAACACAUGCAAGUCGAACGGCAGCACAGUAAGAGCUUGCUCUUACGGGUGGCGAGUGGCGGACGGGUGAGGAAUACAUCGGAAUCUACUUUUUCGUGGGGGAUAACGUAGGGAAACUUACGCUAAUACCGCAUACGACCUACGGGUGAAAGCAGGGGAUCUUCGGACCUUGCGCGAUUGAAUGAGCCGAUGUCGGAUUAGCUAGUUGGCGGGGUAAAGGCCCACCAAGGCGACGAUCCGUAGCUGGUCUGAGAGGAUGAUCAGCCACACUGGAACUGAGACACGGUCCAGACUCCUACGGGAGGCAGUAGUGGGGAAUAUUGGACAAUGGGCGCAAGCCUGAUCCAGCCAUACCGCGUGGGUGAAGAAGGCCUUCGGGUUGUAAAGCCCUUUUGUUGGGAAAGAAAAGCAGCAGGUUAAUACCCCGCUGUUCUGACGGUACCCAGAGAAUAAGCACCGGCUAACUUCGUG